AUCUUCCACAAUGGGCGCAAGCCUGAUGGAGCAACGCCGCGUGAGUGAGGAAGGCCUUCGGGUCGUAAAGCUCUGUUGCCAGGGAAGAAUAAGGGCCAGUUAACUGCUGGUCCGAUGACGGUACCUGAGAAGAAAGCCCCGGCUAACUACGUGCCAGCAGCCGCGGUAAUACGUAGGGGGCAAGCGUUGUCCGGAAUUAUUGGGCGUAAAGCGCGCGCAGGCGGUUCUUUAAGUCUGGUGUCUAAGUGCGGGGCUCAACCCCGUGAUGCACUGGAAACUGGGGAACUUGAGUGCAGAAGAGGAGAGCGUAAUUCCACGUGUAGCGGUGAAAUGCGUAGAGAUGUGGAGUAACACCAGUGGCGAAGGCGGCUCUCUGGACUGUAACUGACGCUGAGGCGCGAAAGCGUGGGGAGCAAACAGG
This 421-nucleotide ribosomal RNA is filed under the name uncultured bacterium. RNAcentral's name for it is "bacterial SSU rRNA". It matches the Rfam family "Bacterial small subunit ribosomal RNA", at positions 361 to 776 of the family's 1533-position model. The record is from RNAcentral.